GAUGGAUGAAUAUGCGAUGAUAGGGACUUCAUCUGAAAGUGCAUCUAAAAGUGUUAGCUUAGCUGGUGCCAGAAUAAAGGCUCUUAAACACAUUGAGAGCUUCGUUACAACUUUCAUGGAACCUCAAGUCUUUGCAGCUGCUGCUUUAUCAUCAGCUCCGUCUAUGUUAGCACAAGUCUCAGAGAAAGUUAGAAUCCCGGAAGCUGGCCACUUGAGAUGCAGCGGCUCCGAGAUUGGAAGGUUUGUUACAAUGCUGCGGAACCCUUCUCCUAUACUCAAAGCAUGUGCAGCUUUUGCGCUUGUCCAGGUACUUAUAUAAGUGUGUGGUUUUAAAACCAGUUGCAGUUUGGUACUAACUUGUGAAAGUGCAGUUUACUAUACCUGGAGGUAGACAUGCAAUGCAUCAUGCCAGCUUGAUGCAGAACGCUGGAGAAGCGAGGAUCUUGCGUUCUGCAGCUGCGGCUGCGAACAUGCCUCGUGAGGCUAAGAUAUUUGCGAAGAUUGUGCUUAGGAAUCUGGAGCAUCAUCACCAGGCAGAAUGUUCAAAAGGAAAGAAAAGUGUCAUCUUAUAAUAGGAUUUGAUGAGGCUUUUGUUUUAUUAGCAUAUUUGUUUUAGUGAAUAGAAGAAUGUAUCUCUCCAAAACAUAUACAUGUCAAGAGAAAGGCUUAUCGCUGCAAAACACAAAAAAACCAUCAAAGACUUUUGGGUCUCAGAAGAUGUGUUUGGACAAAGGAAGGUGUUGUGAUACUAUAUAGUCUGUGGACUUAUUAUGUUUAUUUAUCUCCUUCUGAGGUAUUUUUCUGUAAUAAAAGACCUUAGGGAUUGUUAUGAUUGGUGUUCUUUUUCCCAUUUGUGUAGGCUCUGUUCAUUUCUUGUGACAAAUCUUAGCUUUUUUAUUCAUAAAAUACAAACUAAUCAUUUGUAUUUCUUCUUAUGUCAGAUACUGUGAGAUGAUUAAGUAAAAUCUCAUCAAUCUCCUUAUAUGAUAGACUCAGCAUGCCUUAGUAUCCUUCUUGUUACUAGGAAGCUCUGCUUCUCUUUUGGUAUUGGUGUUGAUAGGCUCUCUCCUCCACCUAAUAGGCUAGUCCAAGCCCAUUCUUGGGUGAUAAGAUGGCUCAGUAUGCACUUGUAAGGUCUCCUUGGUGCGUCUUCAGGCUGUGCUACAAGAAUGUUGCAAUCUCUGGCUUUCCAAUCCUUGAGAAAAGAUGCAUAAGAUACUCAACCAAAAACAGUGCAGCUUCAUCCGCAUACUUAUCCCCUGAAACCUAUUAAUACAGACAUAUAGGGGGUUAUUGGUUGGGUUCAAAAUACUUAUGUAACUGUGUUGUCGUAUAUAACGUUAUUCAAUAAAAAAAGAUGGCGACAUAAUGGGGGUGAUUGGUUGGGCUUUAUCUCCGUUUUUUUUUUUGGGUCAAUUGAAGCUACAUAUACUAAUUUAUCAUAAAAAUAAAACUUCAAAAUAUUCAAAGAACAUUUGUAAUAUUAUGGAAAAAAAAUUAUUUACUUUACAAAAAUUGGGAAGAAAAGAGGAGUGGUAAUUGGUAAUAUAUAAUGUACCGUGCAAAGGAGGUGAUUGAUGCUCUUUUACAAUCUCAAUUUUGCCUAUAUGAGCUUUCUCUCUUCUCGUUUCAACACCGUCUCUCUCUCUCUCUUCACCUUCAUUCCCCAAUUCCUCAGAUUCUUCCUUCUCUGCCGCUGAGAAUAAAUUCACACAAAGUUCCUCUCUUUUGCCCCAAAGGUGAUUACUUUAACGUGUUUUGAUUAUACCCUUUUGCGUAUUUGAUGUGUUGGAGAGUUUUUCUCUGCGCUCUUUGCUUGAAUUCUCUCCGACCCUCAUCACUCUUUCACCUUUUGAAUCCAUUGGAGUUUCUCUGUAUUGAAUUGGAACCGAAAGGCCAGAGCUUUUGCUUGUCUUAGUCCUUAUCUCUUCGAGGGUUUUUGUCGAGCAUUGGUUUGGUUUCUAUUUGGGAUCUAAAUUUGAGUCCUUUUGAUCUCUUCCUUGACAGGUCUUGUAGGAUCUCUAUGAUGAUGAUGAUGCUUUGAUGUUUGUAGCUUCAAUAGGAUCCGGUCAAGACAUGAGUCGCAGGGUGCGUCAGAGAGUGGAGGAGAAUGGAUUAGUUUCACCAAGUUGUUGUCCUGUGAUUGGAGAUGAGGAUUUAGCACCAAAGGCUCAACACUAUGUGGAUUGGACUAGUCUGUCUUACGACACUGUGCUUCUUCUGUUCACUCGGUUGAACUACCGAGACAGAGCUAGCUUAGCAUCCACCUGCAGGACAUGGAGAAGCCUUGGCGCUUCCUCUUGUCUCUGGAGUUCAUUAGAUCUCCGUCCCCACAAGUUUGAUCUCUCAAUGGCCUCUUCUCUCGCAGCUAGGUGUGUUAACCUUCACAAGGUUCGCUUCAGGGGCCUUGACUCUGCUGACGCAAUAGUCAACCUCAGAGCGAGGAACCUGAAGGAGAUAAGCGGCGACUAUUGCAGGAAGAUAACAGAUGCUACAUUGUCUAUGAUCGCUGCGCGCCAUGAGGCUCUUGAGAGCCUCCAGCUUGGACCAGACUUCUGCGAGAGGAUCACUAGCGACGCUGUUAAAGUCAUUGCCUUCUGCUGUCCGAAGCUUAGAAAGCUCAGGCUUUCUGGUAUGAGAGAUGUUAACUCCGAGGCUAUUGAGUCUUUGGCUAAACACUGUCCUCAGCUCAGUGAUGUUGGAUUCUUGGAUUGUCUGAACAUUAAUGAGGAAGCAUUGGGGAAAGUGGUCUCUCUUCGCUACCUCUCUGUUGCAGGGACGAUAAGCAUGAACUGGAGAGUUGCAGCAGAGAGCUGGGAGAAGCUUCCGAGGCUAACAGCUCUGGAUGCUUCUAGAACUAGCGUUGACCAUGUAGCGGUUUCAAGGCUGUUUAAAUCGUCUCAGAGCUUGAGAGUUGUGUGUGCUUUGAACUGCCCUUUGCUUGAACACGAUGUGAACUUCAAAGGAAAGCUCCUGAUUGCUAAAUUCGACGAUAACUCAAAGACGCCAAAGGAUAUGUUCUCUCACUGGAGAGAUCUGAUAAGCAAUGAGGAAACAAUGCGUUGGAUUGAAUGGAUCAUCUCUCAUUCCCUUCUACGAAUGGCAGAGAGCAACUCUCAAGCAUUAAACAACUUCUGGCUUAACCAUGGAGCUAAGCUGCUUCUCAGGCUAAUGGAAAGCUCGCAAGAAGAUGUACAAGAGAGAGCAGCCACAGGACUCGCCACUUUCAUCGUUGUGGACGAUGAGAACGCGAGCAUAGACUGCGGAAGAGCAGAAGCGGUUAUGAGAGACGGAGGCAUCAAGCUUCUUCUGAAACUAGCCAAGUCUUGGCGAGAAGGUCUUCAGUCAGAAGCUGCGAAGGCUAUUGCGAACUUGUCGGUGAACGCUAACGUUGCAAAGGCUGUUGCUGAGGAAGGAGGGAUCGAUGUGCUCGCUGGUUUGGCGAAGUCUAUGAAUAGACUUGUGGCUGAGGAAGCUGCUGGUGGACUGUGGAAUCUCUCUGUUGGAGAAGAGCACAAGGUACUAAUAAAGAGUUGUUUAAAACACACACAUGAAUGAACUUUUUGACUCUCUAACUAACAUUGUUGUUUAUUUAUUUUUUUAUAAUUUAGAAUCAAAUUGCUAAAGCUGGAGGUGUGAAUGCAUUAGUGAAGCUUAUAUUUAGAUGGCCAAAUGGCUGUGAUGGAGUUCUGGUACGCUCUUGCCACCUUAAUGGCCUCACAACUUUUGGCUAAGUACUAUCAAAACUAGUACUUGGUUGGUUACACACAUAUUUAUAUUCUACUCUUCUUUGUCUUGAUUAGGAGCGUGCUGCUGGGGCAUUAGCUAACUUAGCAGCAGAUGAUAAAUGUAGCACGGAAGUUGCAAGAGCAGGAGGUGUGCAUGCGUUAGUGAUGUUGGCUCGAAACUGCAAGUAUGAAGGAGCACAAGAACAGGUACUUCCUUGUUCUGAAAUGCACAUGUUAUUGUCUGAGUAAUGGAUGCUAGUGAUUGUCUGAAUUGGGUUUGUGACAAAUUGUCUUUUUGUUUCAGGCGGCUCGUGCUUUGGCUAACUUGGCUGCUCAUGGUGAUAGCAACAACAACAAUGCUGCUGUGGGACAAGAGGCUGGUGCCUUAGAAGCUCUUGUUCAGCUGACGAAAUCGCCUCAUGAAGGUGUUCAACAAGAAGCUGCUGGUGCUCUCUGGAAUUUGUCAUUUGAUGACAAGAAUAGAGAAUCCAUUGCUGCAUUUGGUGGUGUUGAAGCCUUGGUAACAUGUUUCCUUUUAUUUUCAUUAAUGUGUGUUCACCUUACAUCUUCAGGAAACUUAUCACUUUGUUUAUUGAUUAUAUAUAUUAGGUGGCACUCGCCAAGUCCUGUUCAGAUGCAUCCACAGGUCUGCAAGAGAGAGCAGCUGGCGCUCUUUGGGGUCUCUCAGUCUCAGAAGCAAACAGGUUCAACCAUUUGAAAUUUUUUAUUAAUUUAAAAGUGAUUUACCUAACACCUUAAUGAUAACUCUUUCGUCUUUCUAUCAGCAUUGCAAUUGGACAAGAAGGUGGUAUACCACCUCUAAUUGCUCUUGCAGGAUCUGAAGCUGAGGUAAAAAAAAACAUUUUUGUUUCCUCAUAAGCUUGUCAUGUCCUCUGGUCUUUUGUGUUAUAAUCUAAUCCAUCUUUUUACCUUUUUUUUCCAAGGAUGUACAUGAAACUGCUGCAGGAGCUCUCUGGAACCUUGCUUUCAACCCUGGUAAUGCUCUCCGCAUUGUGGCUGAAGGAGGAGUUACAGCGCUUGUUCACCUCUGUUCCUCUUCUGUUUCCAAAAUGGCUCGUUUCAUGGCAGCAUUGGCAUUAGCAUACAUGUUUGAUGGAAGGUACUCAAAAGCUUCAUAUCCACAUUCAAGAUUACAUUUCUCUCUUUUGGUGCCUAAGCCUUAUCUUAUCUACACAGGAUGGAUGAAUAUGCGAUGAUAGGGACUUCAUCUGAAAGUGCAUCUAAAAGUGUUAGCUUAGCUGGUGCCAGAAUAAAGGCUCUUAAACACAUUGAGAGCUUCGUUACAACUUUCAUGGAACCUCAAGUCUUUGCAGCUGCUGCUUUAUCAUCAGCUCCGUCUAUGUUAGCACAAGUCUCAGAGAAAGUUAGAAUCCCGGAAGCUGGCCACUUGAGAUGCAGCGGCUCCGAGAUUGGAAGGUUUGUUACAAUGCUGCGGAAC
RNAcentral lists this long non-coding RNA (5187 nucleotides) under Brassica napus (rape). RNAcentral describes it as "long non-coding RNA (BNAP_LNC003301)". The record is from RNAcentral. Lineage: Eukaryota; Viridiplantae; Streptophyta; Magnoliopsida; Brassicales; Brassicaceae.